This 1254-nucleotide long non-coding RNA is filed under the name Bos grunniens (domestic yak). RNAcentral describes it as "lncRNA (ENSBGRG00000015021.1)". The record is from RNAcentral. Lineage: Eukaryota; Metazoa; Chordata; Mammalia; Artiodactyla; Bovidae.
AUGACAGAGGUGGCCCCACGCAGAGAGGCCGGGCGGCAGGGAAAGCACAGGCAGGGAGGACGGCGAUGCUAUGCUGCUGGGGGUGGAAGGGUGGGGCACUGGUACCUAUGGGGGAACAGGAGGCACCGGUGGGGCUGCAAGGGGCACAGACUCAGGAAAGAGGCAGGCCCAGCACUAGAUGGCAGAGUCGAGGUGGCACGGAUGGCGAUCGCACGGGCGAGACUAGCAGAGAGCCCCCAAGGUCGGGAAAGAGCACCGCGAAGUGACAAGACAGGGAUGCACCGAGCUGACGCCGGCAGCGACGGUUCGGGGCCAGGGAAAGGGCGGCUCAGAAUGGCAAAAGCCAACGUCAGCUCCAGAGGCUCAGGGUCGGGAGAGGGGAGCCCCAGGUGGGACAGAAGGGAAAGGGGGACGGCUCAGAGCAGGGCCGGCCGGGGUGCCUCCGGGCAGGGGAGGGAGGGUGCUCCGGGCGGCGCAGACCCGGGCGCUGACCUGGUGCAGGGCGCUGAUGCCGUCGGCGUUGGUGGAGUCGAGGACGGCGCGGGCGGGCGGCGGGGCGGCGGGGUCCAGCUCGGCGCCGGGGCCGGGGUCGGCCGCGCGCAGCAUCAGGCGCGCCUCGUCCAGGUCGCCGCCCGCGCAGGCCGCCAGGAACUCAGCGGCGCGCUCGAAGCGCACGGUGCGGGCGCGCCGCUCCCCGGGGCCCGGCUCGGCGCCCGCCCGCGCCCCCACUGCCGCAGCUGCUCCCGCCGCCGCUCGCGGGCCGCUGCUGCCGCCGCCCCGGGGCCCGCCCCGGGCCGUCCUCGCCCGACAUCGCGCCGCCCGCCCGCCCGUGAGCGAACGAGCGAGCGAGCGAGCGCCAAGGACCGAGCCCCAAGCUGCCGCCGCCGCCGCCACCGCCCGCCCCCGGGCCGCCGGGAACUGCCGCCAGCCCCGCGCCGCCCAAGGAUCUACCGGCCCCCGCCCGGCGCGCAACGUCACCACGCCGCCCCGGGGCGCGCUGGGAAAUGGAGUCCGCAGCCGGGAGAGGUCGUGGCAACAGCCUCAGAGAAGGCCGCGGGGCGCUCUGGAAAGUGGAGUCCACAAGCGGAAAUCUGUCUCGGCCACAUUCCGGCCUCGAUCUGCCCCGAGGUACACUGGGAAAUUCGCGGCUCAGCGGUUUCAAAAGGAAAUCUGAUUAAGAGGAUGCCCCCUGGGGGUGCUGGGAAAUGGAGUCUAAAGGCCGGAGAUGUGCCCCGGGGCAUGUGGGAAAUGUAG